Non-coding RNA from Schizosaccharomyces pombe (fission yeast), 395 nucleotides. NCBI's taxonomy places the organism in Eukaryota, Fungi, Ascomycota, Schizosaccharomycetes, Schizosaccharomycetales, Schizosaccharomycetaceae. The record is from the annotation of a GenBank genome assembly.
AAAAAUUGUGCAAGUUAAACGAGUCUGGGUUUGGCGUUGGUAAAUAAAAAUAAGGACUCUUCCGAAAUUGCUUCAAGAAUCUGACCGUAAUCUUUAACAUAAAAAUUAGUUAAAGACCGAGUAAUGUGGAGAGGCGAGCUCCGACCGUGUGCAAGUUAUCUGGUGUUAAAUAUCGGAAGGCUAACAGCAUACGAUAUUUUUUGUACCGAAUUAGGCAUCGUCAUCCUAUCCGUACUGAGGCAAUAUAGUAAUUUUGAAAGAUGCAAGGAAAGAUGUGCCAGAUCAAUUCAUGUUUUGAGUUUUGAGUUUUAACAAUUUCAUAGGAAUAGAUUAGGACAAAAGCAAAAAGAUGGAAAAAAGCCGGUUGGAAACCGAAAAAAAGCAGAUGGAGUUAG